GGGAAUAACGCUGGCGGCGUGCUUACACAUGCAAGUCGAGCGAGAAGACUUUGACAGAUCCUUCGGGUGAUGGAAAAGUUGGAAAGCGGCGGACGGGUGAGUAACGCGUGGGCAACCUGCCCCAUACAGGAGGAUAGCCACUGGAAACGGUGAUUAAUACUCCAUAAGACCACAGCACCACAUGGUGCAGAGGUAAAAACUCCGGUGGUAUGGGAUGGGCCCGCGUCUGAUUAGCUAGUUGGUAAGGUAACGGCUUACCAAGGCGACGAUCAGUAGCCGACCUGAGAGGGUGAUCGGCCACACUGGAACUGAGACACGGUCCAGACUCCUACGGGAGGCAGCAGUGGGGAAUAUUGCACAAUGGGCGAAAGCCUGAUGCAGCAACGCCGCGUGAACGAUGAAGGCCUUCGGGUUGUAAAGUUCUUUUCUUGGAGAAGAAUAAAUGACGGUAUCCAAGGAAUAAGCCCCGGCUAACUACGUGCCAGCAGCCGCGGUAAUACGUAGGGGGCAAGCGUUAUCCGGAAUCACUGGGCGUAAAGGGAGUGUAGGCGGUCAAGCAAGUCAGGGGUGAAAGGCAUCGGCUCAACCGGUGUAAGCCUUUGAAACUGUUUGACUUGAGUGCAGGAGAGGUAAGUGGAAUUCCUAGUGUAGCGGUGAAAUGCGUAGAUAUUAGGAGGAACACCAGUGGCGAAGGCGACUUACUGGACUGUAACUGACGCUGAGGCUCGAAAGCGUGGGGAGCGAACAGGAUUAGAUACCCUGGGUAGUCCACGCCGUAAACGAUGAAUACUAGGUGUCUGGGGUCGAACCUAGGUGCCGCAGCUAACGCAUUAAGUAUUCCGCCUGGGGAGUACGCACGCAAGAGUGCAACUCAAAGGAAUUGACGGAAGGG
RNAcentral lists this ribosomal RNA (892 nucleotides) under uncultured bacterium. Its description in RNAcentral is "bacterial SSU rRNA". It matches the Rfam family "Bacterial small subunit ribosomal RNA", at positions 26 to 921 of the family's 1533-position model. The record is from RNAcentral.